This 426-nucleotide ribosomal RNA is filed under the name uncultured bacterium. RNAcentral describes it as "partial 16S ribosomal RNA". It matches the Rfam family "Bacterial small subunit ribosomal RNA", at positions 354 to 796 of the family's 1533-position model. The record is from RNAcentral.
GUGAGGAAUUUUCCGCAAUGGGCGAAAGCCUGACGGAGCAAUGCCGCGUGAAGGAUGAAGGCCUAUGGGUUGUAAACUUCUUUUCUCAGAAAAGAAUUAUGACGGUAUCUGAGGAAUAAGCAUCGGCUAACUCUGUGCCAGCAGCCGCGGUAAGACAGAGGAUGCAAGCGUUAUCCGGAAUGAUUGGGCGUAAAGCGUCUGUAGGUUGUUUAAAAAGUAUUCUGUCAAAGAUUAGGGCUUAACCCUAGAUAGGCAGAAUAAACUUUUAAGCUAGAGUUUGGUAGAGGCAGAGGGAAUUCCCGGUGGAGCGGUGAAAUGCGUAGAUAUCGGGAGGGACACCAAAGGCGAAGGCACUCUGCUGGGCCAAUACUAACACUGAGAGACGAAAGCGAGGGGAGCAAAUGGGAUUAGAUACCCCAGUAGUCC